UCGUCAAACUUACUGACAACUAGGUCUCAUCGGACCUUGUACGGCUUUUUUGAACCACUGACGUCAUGCAUCCGUACCUUCUCGUUGGUCGAAGAUUUAUUCGAUUUCGGAAAUGUUUCCUCACGUGCUUCUGGUGAAAUAAUCUCAAGGUCUAGGAUGUUGCAAUAGUUUUAGAUUUAAGAUUUUCAUGCAGAUAAUAUUAAAAGUGUCAGAUGAAUCGACCAAAAUACAAAUACAAAUUUGCAUGCUCUCAUCGACCCAUUCAAGAGUGUAUUAAAAAAAGGCGUCGUUAUAUGAAAAAGUAAAACUUGAUAGCACAAAACCAGAACCAAGUUUUUCGCUCUAUCGUUUGCAUUUUAAAAAAUGGACGAAAUUUGCCGAUUUUUCAUGGGUUUACCUUCACACGUAUUGGCGAAACCAUGGCUAGUUUCAAUCGUGGUAACCCAUGAGUCAGAUGACAAAAUUUGACAGCUCUAUCAGUUGAUUUCUAACCGUGAUGGUGGAAACAGUGAAACUACUCCGUUCAAAAGUGUGUCAGUUCAAAGCAGCGUCGAAAACGGACAUUGGCGGCACUUUGUGGACGCCGGAUACGCCCCUUCCGGCAUCUACAACAUCUUGGCACUAUUGGACAGUAAUCAGAGCAUCGAAAGAAAGCCCGGUUCUGUAUGGCCGACGACUCUGAGCGACAAGAAGUUCCAGAGAAUGCUGAAGAGGAAGACAGGAGGAAAAGUGGCUACAUCUCUGCGAGAGGUCGGUGCAACCGGCCAAACAGUGAAGAGGUACCUGGCGAACAUAGACAUACAUACCAGCAAGUGGCAGUCCCGUCCACUGAUCUCGAGGCUGUAGAGAAUGACACAGUGGCAGUGGCUGAAUAAUAUAGCCAAGUCGAUUCGCCCAGCGAAUAGCGACGAGGCGGUAAUCAGGCCUAUCUCACCCUGAAUGGCAACGACUGGCAGUGCACUUCAUAUUUGACUUCCCUUAAGCAAGAAGUGAGCUCCGAGGUGGAGUUUAUUUUACACACCAAGUUCCCCAAGUAGGUGCUGCUGUGGCUGACAGUCAGCGAGAAGGGGAUGUCAAAGCCGCUCUUCUUUCGCUCCGUGAACGGGAAAAUUUGUAGUACGAAAUGCCUACCAAAAAUUGCAUCGUUCAUCAAGAAAUACCAUAAAAAUGGUUUGUUCCCAUUAAAGCAUCGUAUCGUCGCAAAAAAAUUAUUUUCCAGCAAAAUAAUGCCAGUAUUUACACCAGUUCGGCUACAAAAUCAUGGUUUGCUACCCAUAAAAUAACUUACUGGAAUGGCCAAUCCGCAGUUCUGAUCUAAAUCCAGUGUGAAAUUACUGGGAAAUCCUUGUAAGACGCAUCUACGCCCAUAAAAGGCGAAAUUUGUUGAAAGUGUAGAUAAAGAUUAUAGGUAGAUUAUAGGUGUUGACAGACAAGAUGUUUCAAGGGGCAUCCUAGUUUUUUGGUGUCUUCGAUAAAGUCGUUAAGCAUGUAAAACACUAUACUAUAGCGAUAUGUAGUGCAUUGAUAAAGCAUUACUGAGCCCUCUAGAAAAGAGAAUGCAAACAAGUAAGUUUUUCCAUACAAAGUUUCAUAUUAAUUUGUACUGGAGAGUGCUGUCGCUUCUGAGGCCAGAGAACUUAAGUUUUUUGGUUUCAAAAUCGACUGUUUUGUUUGAGAAUAAACGUUAAAUCGUUUGCUGGGAUCUGUCUGCAUUCGUGAGAUUUCUUACAAUUUUGAAACUUUUUCGGUGAAAUAUGAUAACUUCUCAUUAACGGUAAAGCCAGUGGGAAGGGUACAUUCGUCUGUUUUACUUUCAAGCCCAAAUGCCUCGAAAUUACAACUGGUCACAGGAGAGGAAUAUCGCAAUCAGCACAACUGCUAGAAAGCCUAUAUGAACUAGAAAGCCGGUUCUAUGGAAUCAAUAUGUGUGACGUUCAGGAGCUAGCGGUGAAGAACAGCAUCGCUCCCCGUGAAACGUUGUGUUCUCGGAAAGCAAACCCCGGCAUUUUCUUUCGUAAACCUUAACCAACUUUCAUUGCCAGAGCCUUCAACAAGCACACAGUUACCAAAUUUUUUCAUAAGCUUGAAAAUGUUAUGAGCCAGAAAGAGAACUCUAUUACUCUAGAAACUCUAUUACAACAGCAAUCAUUUGUUCCGUGUAUUGAUUUCGAUAAAUAUUUCUUUGAGUAAGAUCAAACCAUCAACAAGAAAACUGGAGAUAGGGGAUCCCAAAAAAUCGGUUUAAAAAUUAUUGAAAAAUAAUGUUAUUUAAAAUAUUUUUCUAGAAUAUUUCAGACUAAAAAGCAAAUGCGGUUCUGAACUGAACCAUAAAAACAACCAUACAAAAAUGAGAAACAAAAAAACAACAAAAAUGUAUGAUAUGAGACGUUACUCGGAUCAGACUGAUUGACACCAGAAAUAAAAACAAAAAAAAAAAACAGUCAGUACAAGAGGCGCAAUUAUGCUGAAUUUGAGGAAGAUAAAUCUGCAGUUAAAAAAUUCGAAUACUGGCAACCAAGGACCCCCAUAACGUUACAGAAAUCCGAGCAAAAACAGUAAUGAACAAUAAAAACAUUAAAUGUAUUCGAGUGAAUUUGCAACACGCGAAGGGAGGAGUCAAGGACAUAUAACAGUAGGGUACAAGGUAUUCCCACAAAACAUUUUAGCUACUUUACGACGACUGUCAGCCCUCGCCGAUAGCUGCAAUCCUAGUAAACGGGAGAAAUAAUUUCUUUCUAAUUACAGAAUUCAUUUCGAGAGACUUGGCAGCGAUCAUAUUGGAGGUGAAUUGGAAGAAUUUCCUCCACUAGAGGUCGCAAGAUUGGUUUCCUAUUAUAAUUGGACGCGAUGCAAACGCUCAUCACACGAUUU
Molecule: long non-coding RNA, 2871 nt
Organism: Wyeomyia smithii (pitcher-plant mosquito)
Lineage: Eukaryota; Metazoa; Arthropoda; Insecta; Diptera; Culicidae
Exons: 3
Source: RefSeq, a predicted model, not a curated record